Molecule: long non-coding RNA, 206 nt
Filed under: Elaeis guineensis (African oil palm)
Lineage: Eukaryota; Viridiplantae; Streptophyta; Magnoliopsida; Arecales; Arecaceae
Description: long non-coding RNA (EGUI_LNC061298)
Source: RNAcentral
CAUAUGGGUUGAUCGAGUCAUCCUUGGGCUUAUAUGUAGUUUGUGUGAAUUUUAAUAUCCGCUAAAGAAUUAAGAUAAUUUUUUGAAUUAGAGGUAGAGGCUACCAAUUUGUAUAAAAUAGUGGGAGAACCUUUAGACUAAAGUCAAAGUAUUUAGGAUUAAUAAAUUCAUAUACUAAUUAGGCUUUGUUCUUUCUUUGUGUGUAU